Molecule: non-coding RNA, 322 nt
Organism: Pelodiscus sinensis (Chinese soft-shelled turtle)
Lineage: Eukaryota; Metazoa; Chordata; Testudines; Trionychidae
Source: RefSeq, a predicted model, not a curated record
GCCUGUGUGCCCUCCAGCCUGUGCAACUUUACAUCCCACUAUGUGACUUUUGGGAACGGGAUCUCUGUGAGCGGGAAUGUCGCCUGCUGUGUCGGGGAGGCCUGCAAAACAGCCACUGUUAGCGUGCCUCCGUAUAACGCCACCCCGAACGGCCGGCGCUGUCCAGCCUGCUACUCUGUGUUCUCCCAUCACUGCAAUGAAGAGAUCAUCGACUGCACAGGCACCCAGACACACUGCCUGCAUAUCAGCACCACAGUGAAAGGUGAGACAAGCAUAAAGUCCACCAUAAAAGGCUGCGUCAGUGAGUCUGCCUGCACUAAUA